RNAcentral lists this unclassified non-coding RNA (272 nucleotides) under uncultured fungus. Its description in RNAcentral is "partial contains small subunit ribosomal RNA, internal transcribed spacer 1, and 5.8S ribosomal RNA". The stretch from base 1 to 73 matches the Rfam family "Eukaryotic small subunit ribosomal RNA", at positions 1759 to 1831 of the family's 1831-position model. The record is from RNAcentral. Lineage: Eukaryota; Fungi.
GCAAACUUGGUCAUUUAGAGGAAGUAAAAGUCGUAACAAGGUCUCCGUAGGUGAACCUGCGGAGGGAUCAUUACCGAGUGAGGGCCCACGGUCCGACCUCCAACCCUUUGAAGUUACCAACUCUGUUGCCUCGGGGGCGAACCGGCCUUUGUGAGCCGGUUGCCCCCGGUGGACCAUUGCACUCUGCGUUCCUACGUCGGAGUUCGAGGGGAAUUGUAAUCAAAACUUUCAACAACGGAUCUCUUGGUUCUGGCAUCGAUGAAGAACGCAGC